GUGAAUUCGGGGUUUUUGGCGGCAGGAGGAGUGUCGGCGACCCCGUCCCGCUGGGCUCGAACGCCGCAGCCCGUCCCAACGCCAGCCCGGCACCGCUCUCCCUCACGCCGGGGGACAAGCGGGACGUGACGGACGCUUUCCUCCUCGCCCCGGCACCUGCCGCCGCGGUUCCGCUCCGGGCUUCCUCCAGCCUCCUCCUCCUCCGCCGGAGAGCCCGAGCCCUCCCGGCAGAGCUCCCCCGCUCGCAGGACGUCCGAAGACGCCGGCCAUGGCAGCCCGGUGCCCGUUCCCCGCUCCGUCCCCGCCGAUUGCCGCUCUGUCCCGCCUACGGCUCUCUCUAUGGUCGGCGGAGGGUUGGCCGCUCUGGCCCCUCUAGGCCGCGCCGCGCCCCAGCUCGAAGGGCCGCUGACACGGAUUCCGGGGCUCGGUCGCGGAAGCGGGCGCCGGGGCGAGAGCUCCGCCGGCUGCGCGCGCAGCCCGCGCUCCUGGCGCCGAGCAGCGCGCCGCGGCCGCCAUCGCCAGGGGGUCCCGGCCCCGGCCGUGUCCGGGAACAAUAAAGCUCUUGUUGCGAGCGCCGGGGGCUGGGCGCCGGGCGAGCCCCUUCCCCGCUCGUCCUUCCCUCCUCAUCCUCUUCUUCUUCUAAUUCUUCUUCAUCCGGCGCCGCCGCCUCGGGCCCUGCGCCCGGUGCAUGGAGAAGCAGGGUAGGAUGGACUGCCCCGCGCUGCCCCCGGGCUGGAAGAAGGAAGAGGUGAUCCGCAAGUCGGGCCUCAGCGCCGGCAAAAGCGAUGUCUACUACUUCAGUCCAAGUGGUAAGAAGUUCAGAAGCAAGCCUCAGUUGGCAAGAUACCUGGGAAACACUGUUGAUCUCAGCAGUUUUGACUUCAGAACGGGAAAGAUGAUGCCCAGUAAAUUGCAGAAGAACAAACAGAGACUAAGGAAUGAUUCUCUCAAUCAAAAUAAGGGAAAACCAGACUUAAAUACAACUUUACCGAUCAGACAAACUGCAUCAAUUUUCAAACAACCAGUCACCAAAGUUACCAAUCAUCCUAGUAACAAAGUACGAUCUGAUCCACAGCGAGUGACAGAGCAGCCACGACAGCUUUUCUGGGAGAAGAGGCUACAAGGCCUCAGCGCAUCGGAUGUCAGUGAACAAAUCAUAAAAUCCAUGGAGCUACCUAAAGGUCUUCAAGGAGUUGGCCCAGGUAACAAUGACGAUACCCUGUUGUCAGCUGUUGCUAGUGCUUUGCACACCAGUUCUGCACCUAUCACGGGACAGCUCUCUGCAGCUGUUGAGAAGAACCCAGCCGUCUGGCUUAAUACAUCUCAACCCCUCUGCAAAGCUUUCAUAGUCACAGAUGAUGACAUUAGUUGUGGGAUAUACCUUCUGAAUAGUUCUGGGCUUCUUAGUGCUAGUCCUGUGAAAGAAAACAAGAAGAGCGUGUGCAACAAGUGCGCAAAAAACUAGAGGAAGCACUAAUGGCAGACAUUUUAUCUCGAGCGGCUGAUACAACAAAAGAUAUAGAUGUAGAAAUGGAUAAUGGAGAUGAAGCAUAAAAACAAAUCAGGUACUUUUAACUGACUUAUCCCAGGAGGAACUUCCUAUAAGACAGAGGCACUUUCUCCUUCGGUCUUUCGUUACAAGAAGAAAUGGACCCAUGCACAUUUAUAUAGCUUUCUAAUAGCAUUAAAACCAAUGCCUUUUCUAGACUCCUAUUUUUGAUGUAUAUAUCUUAUUUGAAAAGCAACUUUAUUUUGUGUCCUAUGACUUAAAGUCCUUUUUUAAGUAUCAAACGUUACCCUUAAUCUAAAGCUGAGCUUUUGAUGCCAGGUUGCAAACCUACUGGAAUUAUAUUGCCUGUACUAAAUAUUUGUUUUUCCUGUGGUUUUUAGUAAGAAUGGAUCAGGAGAACAGAAUGAUUUCCCAAUUAAAGAUUAUUGUGACUCUGUAUAUAAACAGAUUUUUAUACCUAUGGGUGAAAAAACCUGUACAUUCUUCCGUCAUCACUGUAAAGAUAAAUAAAUGAUUAUAUUCCAA
RNA transcript from Harpia harpyja (harpy eagle), 2035 nucleotides. It is a transcript of the gene named methyl-CpG binding domain protein 2, with no coding region annotated. The transcript is spliced from 8 exons. The record is from RefSeq and is a predicted model, not a curated record. Lineage: Eukaryota; Metazoa; Chordata; Aves; Accipitriformes; Accipitridae.